UGAGGGUAGAGGACUUUGUCUCACUGAC
Molecule: non-coding RNA, 28 nt
Filed under: Rattus norvegicus (Norway rat)
Lineage: Eukaryota; Metazoa; Chordata; Mammalia; Rodentia; Muridae
Source: RNAcentral